GACGGUUGAUGAAAAUGAAGAUGAUGAAGAUAACGGUUGAUUUGGUAUAAAGCUUGUUGCACUGGUACACCCAGGUUAGGGGAGUGUUGGUGCGCCCUUAAAAAAGUUUAAACCCGGCCACAUUCUGUAUGUGUCAGUUUCAAGUCACGAGAUGGUAAUGCAGUGUUUGUCGUUUGUUUCUAUUUGUUUCUUAUUCAUUUUGUACAUUAAUCGGGCCGUUAGAUUUUUCGUUUGUUUUACAUUAUUUAUUUCGGGAAUUGAAGACUAUGCAGUAUGAAUUUUACUCAUUGUUGAAGCCCGUACGGGACCUAUAAUUGUAAGUUAAUUUAUGUCUCAUUUGCAAUCAUAUCACAUCUUCUUUUUUUUAUAUGGAAUACUUUUGAAGUUUGUGGUACGUUGCA
This 401-nucleotide long non-coding RNA is filed under the name Mytilus galloprovincialis (Mediterranean mussel). Lineage: Eukaryota; Metazoa; Mollusca; Bivalvia; Mytilida; Mytilidae. The record is from RNAcentral.